This 219-nucleotide ribosomal RNA is filed under the name uncultured bacterium. Its description in RNAcentral is "partial 16S ribosomal RNA". It matches the Rfam family "Bacterial small subunit ribosomal RNA", at positions 28 to 256 of the family's 1533-position model. The record is from RNAcentral.
GACGAACGCUGGCGGCGUGCUUAACACAUGCAAGUCGAGGGCAGGGAGCAAUCCCUGACCGGCGAACGGGUGCGUAACACGUGAGCGACCUUCCGUCUUCUGGGGGAUAGCCGGCCCAACGGCCGGGUAAUACCGCAUACGCUCUUGGGGCUUCAUGGCUCUUUGAGGAAACUUCCGGGGGAGGACGAGGGGCUCGCGGCCUAUCAGCUAGGUUGGGGG